This 502-nucleotide ribosomal RNA is filed under the name Scarelus sp. UPOL 001045. RNAcentral's name for it is "partial large subunit ribosomal RNA". Lineage: Eukaryota; Metazoa; Arthropoda; Insecta; Coleoptera; Lycidae. The record is from RNAcentral.
CAUGUCUUUUUGAUAAUAAUUUAAGGUCUAAUCUGCUCAAUGAUUGAUUAAAUAGCCGCAGUAUAUUAACUGUGCAAAGGUAGCAUAAUAAUUAGUUUCUUGAUUAGGAGCUGGAAUGAAGGAUUGGACGAGAAAAUUUCUGUCUCGGUUUAAUUUUUUUUUGAAUUUUAUUUUUAAGUUAAAAAGCUUAAAUUUUUAUAAAAGACGAGAAGACCCUUUAGAGUUUUAUACUUAUUUCUUAAGUUAUUUUAGAAAUUUAUUUUAUGAUCUAAGUAUUUAGUUGGGGUGACUUGGAGAUUUAUUUAAUUCUUUAAAAUAUUUUAUUGAUGAUUUUUAAAUAAUAUAAGUAAUUUUUUAAAUUUAGAAUUAAUUACCUAAGGGAUAACAGCGUAAUUUUUCUUUAAAGUUCUUAUUGAAAGGAAAUUUUGCGACCUCGAUGUUGGAUUAAAAUUAAUUUUUGACGCAAUAGUUUAAGGAUUAGGUCUGUUCGACCUUUAAAAUU